Molecule: ribosomal RNA, 207 nt
Filed under: uncultured bacterium
Lineage: Bacteria
Description: partial 16S ribosomal RNA
Rfam family: Bacterial small subunit ribosomal RNA
Source: RNAcentral
UGUGUAGGUGGCGCGCUAAGUCGGGUGUGAAAUUUCGGAGCUUAACUCCGAAACUGCAUUCGAUACUGGCGUGCUUGAGGACUGGAGAGGAGACUGGAAUUCAUGGUGUAGCAGUGAAAUGCGUAGAGAUCAUGAGGAAGACCAGUGGCGAAGGCGGGUCUCUGGACAGUUCCUGACACUGAGACACGAAGGCCAGGGGAGCAAACA